UACGUAGGGGGCAAGCGUUAUCCGGAUUUACUGGGUGUAAAGGGAGCGUAGACGGCAAUACAAGUCGGAAGUGAAAUACCCGGGCUUAACCUGGGAACUGCUUUGGAAACUGUAUGGCUGGAGUGCUGGAGAGGUAAGCGGAAUUCCUAGUGUAGCGGUGAAAUGCGUAGAUAUUAGGAGGAACACCAGUGGCGAAGGCGACUUACUGGACAGUAACUGACGUUGAGGCUCGAAAGCGUGGGGAGCAAACAGG
Molecule: ribosomal RNA, 253 nt
Filed under: uncultured bacterium
Lineage: Bacteria
Description: partial 16S ribosomal RNA
Rfam family: Bacterial small subunit ribosomal RNA
Source: RNAcentral